AGAGGUGGCAAGCGUUGUUCGGAAUUACUGGGCGUAAAGGGCGCGUAGGCGGUCUCAUAAGUCCCGUGUGAAAGCCCCCGGCUCAACCGGGGAACGGCACGGGAAACUGCGAGGCUUGAGUUCGGGAGAGGGAAGCGGAAUUCCGGGUGUAGCGGUGAAAUGCGUAGAUAUCCGGAGGAACACCAGUGGCGAAGGCGGCUUCCUGGACCGAUACUGACGCUGAGGCGCGAAAGCUAGGGGAGCAAACGGGAUUAGAUACCCCGGUAGUCCUAGCUGUAAACGAUGAGUGCUGGGUGUAGGGGGUCUUAACCCCCCCUGUGCCGAAGCUAACGCAUUAAGCACUCCGCCUGGGGAGUACGGUCGCAAGGCUG
RNAcentral lists this ribosomal RNA (371 nucleotides) under uncultured bacterium. Its description in RNAcentral is "bacterial SSU rRNA". It matches the Rfam family "Bacterial small subunit ribosomal RNA", at positions 527 to 896 of the family's 1533-position model. The record is from RNAcentral.